GCUCACCGCCUUACUGAUCCUAACCAAACUCCGAAUACCGAAGAGUAAUGCUCGGCAGACACACUACGGGUGCUAAGGUCCGUGGUGGAAAGGGAAACAGCCCUGACCGACAGCUAAGGUCCCUAAAUUAUGGCUAAGUUGGAAAGGAUGUAGGAAUCCCAAAACAACCAGGAGGUUGGCUUAGAAGCAGCCAUCCUUUAA
RNAcentral lists this ribosomal RNA (201 nucleotides) under Gambierdiscus australes. RNAcentral's name for it is "partial Bacterial large subunit ribosomal RNA". It matches the Rfam family "Bacterial large subunit ribosomal RNA", at positions 927 to 1126 of the family's 2925-position model. Lineage: Eukaryota; Dinophyceae; Gonyaulacales; Pyrocystaceae. The record is from RNAcentral.